UACGUAGGUGGCGAGCGUUGUCCGGAUUUACUGGGCGUAAAGAGCGCGCAGGCGGUCGUUCAAGUCGCGUGUGAAAGCCCCGGGCUCAACCUGGGAAUUGCAUUUGAGACUGCAUAGCUAGGGUGCGGAAGAGGGAAGCGGAAUUUCCGGUGUAGCGGUGAAAUGCGUAGAUAUCGGAAGGAACAUCAGUGGCGAAAGCGGCUUCCUGGUCCAGCACCGACGUUCAGGCACGAAAGCGUGGGGAGCAAACAGG
This 253-nucleotide ribosomal RNA is filed under the name uncultured bacterium. Its description in RNAcentral is "partial 16S ribosomal RNA". It matches the Rfam family "Bacterial small subunit ribosomal RNA", at positions 524 to 776 of the family's 1533-position model. The record is from RNAcentral.